CGCAGUGGCCAGGACCGACCUGCGCAGGGGCAGGGGUCAAAGGUCGGGAAAGGACCCAGCGUGCCCACGCUCGCGGCAAGCCUGACGCCGCUUUUGCUCAGAUUAGAAUCCCGGCUCUGUGCAUCUGCUGCAGUUUCCCCCAGCGGUCACCCUGGUGAGGGGACAGGGUGACAAGCCGUGCAGAGUGUGGUUAUUGUUAUAAAGAAAGCAGACUGUGGCGGUAGAAAGCCGUCCAGUGGGAGGGGCCAACUGUGCCGCUUGACGUGUGGUGUGGACCUCAAGAACAAUGUGCACAGAAGACAACAUUGGAGCAGAUGCCUGGAAGAAUCCAAGGAGACAUGCAACAAGAAUCAAGGGUGGCUCUCCAGAGAAGAUGGAAGUCUAAGAGGGCAGCUCUGUGUCAGAUUCAGAUCCUGGUCUUUGCCUAUGGUACCCAGUCUGCAUCUCACACCAGUUCAUCCGGGGCUGCGUGAAGAAAUGGCCCAGGUAAAUAUUUACUCUUGUCUGAAUACAUUUAUUCUAUUCGAAGAGCUGAACAGCUAAAAGGUUGGACCACCUACGAGCUAUAAACAAAUCCACGAGGAAAGAAAAGAUACCAAACCAGCAAGAUGGGUGAGUGGUGUCCCAGUCUAGCUGAGGGAAGAGACAUAUCCAAGGGAAAUUGCCACAAGAUUUUAUAGAAAGGAGCUAAUAAUGUUCUUUGUAAAACAGCUUCGGAAAUGGAAAAAUCUUGCCAGUUCCAUGGUAGUGCAGGUAAGGUGCUUGCAGACUCAAGUUUUCGGUGACUGAGUGUAAGAGAGGGUAACAGCGAGGAUGCAUGUGACCUUAUGUGCUUGCAAGGAAACUUGCACAGUGAAAGCCACUGUGUAUCAUUAGUGCAUGGUAACCAAGUAUUUCAAGUAAUGUAAGUUAUCUUCUUUCUCAUUGUUGCUUUUUCUUUUCCUAUUUCAGGGUCCUAAUGGCAGACACUGGAUCAAAAUGUAACCCACCCAAAUUUCUCUUUUUAAACAGCUCAUAUUUCUCUCUUUAAAGCAUAGCAAAUGCCAGUUUGUAUUCUAGAUGAGAUGUGAUGUCUGCACUAGCCACUGUCAUCAUGUCUCUUCUCGCCUGCUUCCUAAAUACUAUACGUGGCGAUGAACAUGAAGACUCUAACAGCUGCAAGAGGCUGGCUUCCUCUUCCCUGUCCUCAUUGUCGUCCCAGAUGCUUGGCUCUCUGGGAAGUGUCCUGAAUGAAGCGAACCUUUCUUCCCUCUGAAUCUUCACAAAAGCAAAGUGUGGUUUAAUGAGUUCUACUCUGCCUGGGUCCAUGCUCAGCACUGUUGACAUUUGGGACUAGAUAACUCUUUCUUUCUGGAAAGCCCUCCUGUAGUAACAUCUCAUUUGUAUUUUAAUAAAUAAAGCUUGCCUGAGGAUCAGAAAAGUAAAAUAGCCACAAGGGUCAAGCUUACAGACCAGGCAGCAAUGACACACACCUUUAAUCCCAGUAGCCACACUAGCUUGCCAUAGAAACCAGACAGGUUGUGGUGCACGCCCUUAAUCCCAGAACUAGAGAGGAUUAUAAAACGGGAGGAGACAGCUCUCAGUCUCAGUCUCAUUCUGAGGUUUCCUGGAGGCCCACACAGUAGAAGGAGAGAAUGGACUCCCAUAGGUAGUCUUCUGAUUAUCACAUGCACACUAUCUGUGCACCACACAAACACAAGAUAAAAACUAAAGUCAGAAAAAAGUCGCCACUGUUUACUGAGUCAGUGUGAAGAAAAUGAUCACAUGGUCUCACCUCAUUUUUACAAUCAAAACUUGAUGCUUUGCCGGUGAUCAGGGUUCUCACUGGAGGUCUGUUACCUCAGAAAGCAGCGUUGCCCUCACACCUGGAUCUUCUAAACCUAAUUCACAGAGGUUGUCACCAAUCAGGCCUAUAGCCCUUCCACAGGCAAGAGAGCUCUUUGUGUUCAGUGAAUACCGGAGAGGCUAGUGCACAGUACUCAAUUAGUUAGGACACUGAAUUGAAUUUAUCCUAAGACUAAUUAUGUUUAAUUUUCUCUAGGAUGAGACUAAUGAUGUCAUGCAAUGUGGUCUUCUUAUGGAUGUACAUCUUCAGUCUGCCUUGCUCUUCAAUGUACUCAAUGCAUGCUUUGUGCCAAAUAUCAGAAGAACCACAGUGAGUAAGGUGAGGAAAAUGAAGCAGAGAGAAGCGAAAUAGCUCUCCCAUGGUUGUGCAGCCGAGAAGUAUGGGGGAUCCUGAAGCCCAGCACCAGCCCUGCUGAUCACUGUUCUGUGUUUCCUGCUGCCCGAAUUCGAAAAGUCAAAAGGCUCAUGGGGGAUUUUACACGCAGAGAAAAUUUUAUGUUCCCAGGUGGCACCAAACGUGGAGCUGAGGAUGACUUUCAGCUUCGGAACCUCCCGCCUUUACACCCCGAAAGCUGGACAUUUCAGAUGUGAACCACGGCACCCAGUUUUAAUGGGUACUGGGGAUCUGCCCGGGGGUCCCCAGGUAUGCACCCCCUCUAGAAUCUCAGCUACAUCUCCAGCCCCUGGCUAUGAAUUUUAAAACUUAGCUUCCAUGUCUAAAGUAUGAAGGGUCAAACACUGUUCUUUGGAAAUGAUCUCUGCAUUUCUCUGCUCUACUUCUCUUGAUAUUAAUUUGUUUCUAAAAAAAAAAGUUCUUUCCAUUGGUAACCCUGUCAUUGCUAAAUUUAUUUCAUACAGUUUCCAGUCUAGCAUUAAAAAAAGGCUCUCCUCAUACUUAUCUACGAGCCAUCGUUUGCUUUGAUUAGAACAACUUUUACAUGUUGAUCCCCGAAACAACGGUAGGUCUGGGAUGGUUCAACAGUUUCACCGUCCAAGUUUAGAUCAUGCAUACCCAUCCGCAAACUCAGGCAUGGUUUCUUCAAAGCUUCAAGACAGAAGGUACAGAGACAAUGUAAAUGUUACCUGAAACAGAAUCCAAGAGUACAAUUAGAUGAGUUUGUUAUAUUCUAAGACUAAAAUAGAUGUAGACAGGAGUUUUACUUAACCAUCAUUUUCUCAAUAUAUAUCAAAUUAUUUGUGAUGUUGACAUUACAAAGCAACAAGCCUCAUCCAAGUCCAUAACUGUCCAUACCUGAUUAAGAUUCCCCAAAUGGGAAUUUAGACACUUAACAUCUUUGGUUGCAAGAAACAUGUAAGUGCUUACGAAACAGAGUCCUGAGUUCCACAACCGAGUGGUUAGAGUAGCCCACAGACUUGAGGGCAUCACUAGGAAAAAAGCUUCCGGAAGUUUAGAAAACAGCACAGUUCUGAGCCUUGAGAACACACGGAUCCUGUGGCUAGGUCACCUCGGGGCACUUCCAUUCAGGAUUCAAAUUGCCAAAAGGUGAAUCAACCCACAUUUAUCCAAAGGUCCAACCCUGUGAUUUAGAAAAUAGUUCCUUUAGAAAAAAAUCACAGAUUAGAGUUAAGAGGUUGCACCGAGGAGGGGUGGUACAAAAACAGAACAAACCACAGCAAUCUGAGGCCAUGCUGAGACGCCAAAAUUAUUGCUCAAGAAUGCAAAUUUAGAGUCCAAAAAAACAAAACAAACCGUGUGAGUAGCUUCUAUCUUGGAGGUCGUGUAGAUAGAGACUAGAGCCAUAGUAGGGAAACAGAGAAAACAGCCAGGAGUGACAGAGGGAGAAGAUAAGAGAUGCUUACAGUGGGGUCCCCGGCUGUGAAAGGCAUCGGCAGAUGAUUUUGUCAAUGUCUAAACAUCAUGGAAUGGACUUACCUCCACAAACUUAGCUAGAUAGGUCGCUGAUGCCUAGAUACAGAGGGAAAUCAUCUCUCUCAGCUUCUUAAGGCAGUCAAAAGGUAUGCCAAGGCAAAGACCCAUGAGACGAGUCAAACUGCUGCCAACGUGUAAAACUCUUCAUUUAAAUGUAAGUACAUGCAAAAGUAAUAAUAAAGUCGAGGGAAUAUGAAGGCAGGAGAUGGCUCAUUGGUUAAGAUCUCUGACAGCUCUUGUAGAAGACUCGGUUUCAGUUCCCUCUGAGGGUACCUACACAUAUAUGAUGCUAUAAAAUCAUGUUAUGUGCAAACAUGCACAUAAAUAAAUCUUUAAAAAAGUAUAUCAGAUCAAUAACUCGGUAACAUGGCUGUAUAUUAUUAUUAACUGCAUAAUUGUAUUGCUGUGCUUUUACAUGACUGAUCUCGUAAUAUGUUUGUUUACAAUAUUAGCACCGAUGCCUGAGCAAUGCAUUCAUUACAGUAUGAAGUUACUGUGGCUGUGACAGAAACCAAUUUUUCAGCUCUGUCAUACUCUUAUAGGACCACCACUAUCCAUGUGACCAGUCACUUCAUAAGCAAGAGGUCUAGCAGUUGUCUCCAGUUCUAGAAUAUUGGACUACAUAAUUAUGGAAAUUAAAAUAGUCUUAGACACCAGAUCAUAUAAAAAUAUCAGGUAACCACAGGCAGUGGGACCAAAAACAUUUUCCAGUUCUGCACACGGUAAGGUGAGAUGGCUUAGCAGAUAAAGGCACCUGCUCUGAACCCUGAUGCUCUGAAUUUAAUCCCCACAACAUACACAGUGGAAGGCGAGAGCUGAGCUGACUCCCAUGGGUUGCCUGCUGACCUACACCUACACACAUACACAAGGUGUUACGCACUUACUAACCACAGAACACUACUUGAAGCAUUCACAUACACGUCACUUCAUCCCCACUAAUUCCCUAUAGAAUGGGUAGAAUUAUUAAUCCCAUCUUGCAUUCAAGGGAAGAGAGAGAGAGAGAGAGAGAGAGAGAGAGAGAGAGAGAGAGAGAGAGAACCCUGGAGCCAGGAUUCAGAUUCUCUCAUUAACACCAAAGCCUAAAUUCUCGAAAGUACAAUUUUCUGCACAAACUUCAGUGAGGAAACUGCUUAUAAGACCUCUAAGAUGUAGGAUGGCUCAAAACCUUUAUGUAAUUUCUUUAGAUUAAGAAAUAAUAAUAAAUGGUCUCUUCUUUUCCAGAUCCUGUUCAAAUCUCAGAGUUUCUUUGCUAUUUCCAUGGACAGGAGUCUCACCCGAACACUGUCAGAGAAUCACUAACAUGACUGACCAUUUGCUGAGCAAUUGCAACACAGAAUGAAUAGAUAAGCGCUGUGCUUUUCACUCUCGCCCAGAAGUAGAGCGUCCACCACCUGAAGCGACUACAACUCCCAUUUCCCCUAUAACCGUGCACUAUUGUGUAACACGAUGUUUAGGCUCCACGCACAGCAAUUAUGCAAUGCUUCUGUGGUAAGUUCAGUCCCUACUUGGAUGGUGAAAACACCAUGAAGGAAUCAUUUUGCAAUCAUCACAUCUGCAGGCAGUAACCUUUGAGAAACAGGUGGAAAAAAGGAACACUGGAGUUUCUUGUGAGAAGGUUUCUCUCAGAGAUGGUUUCAUUUGAUUUAUAGCAUUGUUUUUUCUUCCUCCCUUCCUCCCUCUCUCUCUUCCUCUCUCUCCCUCCCUCCCUUUCUUCCUUCCCCCUCUCUCUCUCCCUCCCUCCCUUUCUUCCUUCCCCCUCUCUCUCUUCCUCCUUCUUUGUCUUCUUUUUUCUCCUCUUUCUCUUUCUUCGUUUUUUUUUCUCCUUUUCCUUCUCCAUUUUUUUUUAAAACUGAAAAACAACUUUGUCUGAGAACUGUUCUUUAAUUCUUACUAUCCUAGCGAGGAUUCCAUCAAGUACUUCAAAAGUCCAUACUGAGAGCGAGUAUUAAAGGUCCCCUGCUGGGGACUGGAGUGCGGAGGACACAGGUUCCUCGCCCUGCGCUGGACACCGCGCUCCUCUGGCCAGUCUCUGUGGGCAGAAAUACAGGCUGGAGUAUGAGCAGAUGCCAAGAACCUGUCUCUCUCCACCACCUCCCUUCUCCCUUUUCACUGUGCUCCUGAAAGAGAGACCGAGGGAGAAAGAGAGAGUGGGGGAGGAAGAGAGCCUUGGGCCAAACUAUGAAAUAUAUUAGUUUCCUUGCUAAAGAAAGAAAAAAAUAGUGAGUUUUUAAUUCAAUGUUUUUAAAUCCUUCUCUUUUUACAUCAAAUCUCUGACCACGUUGUUUGGAAGCCACAGUGCUAGAUUACGGCUAACUUCUGUGUGGGAAGCCACAGAUCUCGUUUGCAGUUAACUCCUGCGUGCUCCUGGGCCGAGGAUGAUUUUUCUUUUAGCAAGUUCUCCAAAGGGUAAUAUGUCUAACCCUAGAAAUGGGAACUUCACCUCGACAAUGCAUUGUUGACAGUUACUCGUGUUUUAAUCCAGUCAAGAUGAGACAGGAACGGCAGAAGUCAAAGACCACAUGAAUUAUCGAUCGAGAGGGUGUGGAGAAAUCGGGUUCCAGUUUCUUUGCCUCCAACUGUUGCAAUGCUUUGCCUUUUAAACAACCAUCUAAAAAAUAUAUUAAGCCCUGCACUAACAACGACAAAUAUCGGUCCCCUGGCACAGGUGUGACUCCCUCAGAAGACUUCCUCCCCCACCAGGCUCUGCCGUUUCCUCUCUGUCUCGGGCUAUCAUUUCACGUCCUUGUGUCAGGCUUAGUCUAUUGGAAGUGCCUACGUCCUCUGUAAUUUAGGUUUUAAGCAACGUAUGAUUUCCUCUGUUACUUAAAACACAAAUGUAGCUGUCUUCUCUGACUGGGAGAACGUCUUCCUUGCCUAAUCUCCUGCAGAAUGGCAGGGAAGAACACAGAAACCGAAGCAGCUCUGUGUUUUUAACAAACAUUCCUUAAAACCGGAGACCUCACAACUGGCUAGAACUAAAAUUUGUUUUCGUCCUGAAUAUCCUUGCUGGGUCCAUUAUGCGUUAAAAGGGGCCACAGCCCAUGUGCAAGACCUAUGAAUGAGCCCCAUUCAUUCUGGGCUUGGAAAGGUCUUUUCAGCCACCAAGACAAACAAUAGCUACAACCCAAUUUCUUUGGCGUGGAUAUCAACUGAGGAAAAAGCCAAGAGACCAUUAUGAAAACUCUUGUACUUUCUUGGGGUGAUUAUGUAAUUCUGUAUUCACUGGCCAUAUUUAUUUAAAUAAGUCCAUUUUUGAAAAGGUUAUAAAAAUGACUCAUAACGCCAUGGCAUCUUGUUUCAUGUAUGGAACAACCUUUUGAAAACAGAGGAUUUCAAUAUAAUUUGCUUCUUAAUGUUACUAAAGUUUAAAGACAUACUACCGUGUUUGCUCAUUACCCUUGUUAAAUCUGAUGGGAAUUCAGAAUGACGAUUCUGUUUGCCAAAGCCAGCGAUCAUGUUCCACAUUUACCCACAGGGUCCAGUGAAAGGCCCGAGAAGAAAAGGUGGGUGAGUGGAGCACCUAAUGUGGUUUCUGCAGGGGCAGGGCGAUCGAGCAUUCUUUAGUAAAGAGGUGACUGUUUUCACCAUGACUUCCACAUUUGUAUGUCCUGUGGAGUUCUCUCUCUGGCUUCGGACAUCGGCAAAACUUCUCUGUUGGUUUCUGCUUUCAUCUUCCUGUAAUGAGCCUUCUUUCUCUAGCUAGCCUGGUCCUUUCACACAUUUUCCUUCUCAGAUUUGUCUCCCACCAAAUCUUUUCUUCCCAUUUAAUCUGUCCAGCCUUUGCUCUUCCCGAAGUCUUGGUCUCAGGUCGCUUUUUAAGAAACUGGUAAUUACAUCACCAAUUCGGUUAAUAGUUUAAAUGGUACUCUAAUUGGAACUGGGUACUGGAAUCACUUGUUGAAAUCUAGAACCAGAUUGUGGAGAACCUCUCAAUUGCCUUCCCAAGGCUGUAUACAGAGACUGAUGCCCACUUCGUGUUUGGAAAGCUUGCAGGGGUGAUUGGGUCUCAGAAGAACACAUUGUCGGCUCGGUGCCAGUCACUCUCCUGUUGAUUGGGUCUUAGAAGAAAGCGUUGUUGUCUGUGCUGGUCACUCUUCUGCUACUGCGAUAAAUUGCUGACAGAGACUUGAGGAAGGAAGGGUUUGUUUUUGCUUUCAGUUCAGUUCCAGAGGGGGAAAAUCUUUACCGGAGAACUAUAAAAAAAAUUGCUUGCUCUGAUGGCAUUUGAUCACCUCUGCAAAUUCAUUAUUGAAAGUGUCAGUUGCUAGAUUUUGCCUUCUAUUGUCAUUUAUUGGUGAAUGAUGGGAAAUAUGAUUCUAAUUAAAAUUUAAGGACUCUUAAAUUAUUGAGUCAUGAGAAGCAUAAGGGAUUAAGGGCAGAGUCUAGAAAGUUCUAAUUUAAAAUUCUUCCUUGGCCACUUAUUAUUUGUGAGGAUAAGGACAGGAUGGAAUAAAAGCAUGUUCCAGCUAGGGACUAGCUGGAACGUGGUGGGUAGCUGGAUUGCAUUGAUCUUCACAUACUUUUCUGUGAAUCUGAUGGCCUUGGAAGAAGCCAUUGAGAACCGUGCUGGGAGGCAAGCUCUCUGCUCACCAUGAGGCGACUAUGUUCCUGCAAACGCUUUCUAUCUUUCCUGAGGACUCGCAGGUCCUGCAGAUGGCCAGGAGCGGGCCACAGAAGCAGAUAUCUUCAGCCAUGAUGAUCUACUUAAAGUUGUAACAUUCCAUUUUAUAGCUUAAGGAAUUUUGUCCUAUGAUAUGAAUCUGAG
This is a long non-coding RNA of Alexandromys fortis (reed vole), 8501 nucleotides long. RefSeq lists it as uncharacterized. NCBI's taxonomy places the organism in Eukaryota, Metazoa, Chordata, Mammalia, Rodentia, Cricetidae. The record is from RefSeq and is a predicted model, not a curated record. The transcript has 5 exons.